Molecule: non-coding RNA, 70 nt
Organism: Phrynosoma platyrhinos (Desert horned lizard)
Lineage: Eukaryota; Metazoa; Chordata; Lepidosauria; Squamata; Phrynosomatidae
Source: the annotation of a GenBank genome assembly
GCCGGUGUAGUAUAGUGGUUUAGCAUUGGACCAUGACUCUUGAGACCUGGGUUCAAAUCCCUGCCCGGCC